GGGGAUAUAGCUCAAUGGUCAGAGUGCUUGACUACGAUGAUGUAUGUAUUGUAUGUACAUGGGAUGUGAGAUCAAGAGGUUCUGAGUUCGACCCUCAGUAUCCCCU
Pseudovirgaria hyperparasitica is the source of this 106-nucleotide non-coding RNA. Lineage: Eukaryota; Fungi; Ascomycota; Dothideomycetes; Acrospermales; Acrospermaceae. The record is from the annotation of a RefSeq genome assembly.